AAAGCAAGUGAAUCAUCAAAUAUGAAUCUAUGUUUGUGAUUUUUAGAUCAUUUAGAAACGUUUCUUCAACUUCGUUUCGUGUAUCAAGGAGUACAGAGUUAUUAUUUCGCCGUUUCUUUUCAAUGAAGCUUUACACAGAUAAAUAUAAUCCAUUUACUUUACGAGUUUUGGUAGCAGAUAGAUUGGCUGGGACGGCAGUCGGUGUGCAGCACGUGCAAAAAGAUG
This is a non-coding RNA of Paramuricea clavata, 225 nucleotides long. The record is from the annotation of a GenBank genome assembly. Lineage: Eukaryota; Metazoa; Cnidaria; Anthozoa; Malacalcyonacea; Plexauridae.